Long non-coding RNA from Glycine soja, 635 nucleotides. RefSeq lists it as uncharacterized. The record is from RefSeq and is a predicted model, not a curated record. The transcript has 3 exons. NCBI's taxonomy places the organism in Eukaryota, Viridiplantae, Streptophyta, Magnoliopsida, Fabales, Fabaceae.
UUCUUUGCUUUUGUUUCUCCUCCUUUAUUCUUUUGCAUCCAUCCUGUUUUUGUUUCUCCUCCUUUAUUCUUUUGCGUCCGUCCAUAUUUUGUUUCACGUCAAUAUUCUAUUUUUCCCCUUUUUUGUCUAAUUUUUUGUGCUUUGAUUUUUAGGACAGUCUAACGACGGUGCUGAAGGUUACAAGGCUUUGCCCAUGGAAGAGUUGGGAUAGGCUACUAAAGAAUAAAGGCUAACGGUGGUGUUGAAGGUUACGACGCUUUGCCCAUGCAAGGGCUGCAACAAUAGGACUUGAGGUUGCUGUUCUUUUUGGUUUUUUUAAAAGAAAAUUAUUUCCUGUCAUUUUCGCUACAAGAGUUGUUGCUGAUUUCUUUUUGUUUCUCUUCUAAUUCUUUUUCGUUUUUUAAAAUGCAGGUUCGUAGACACAAAAGCUUAAAUUUUUUGUGGUGUUCUGCCUUUAUUUUGUUUUCUGACUUCUCUCAAUACAAAAGUUUAAAUUUUUUUGUGUUCUUUUGGCAUGUUGUAUGCAGAGAAGGUGGAAAAACACAUUAAAAUUGCGAUUUUUAUCUCAAAAACUUCAUGGGUUCAGAGAAGGUGGAAAAACACAUUAAAGUUGCGAUUUUUAUCUCAAAAACUUC